CGCCCCCUCCCUCGGGUCCCCAGGACCAGCGCUGCCCCCGGGGCCGCGACCACCUAGCUCAGCCCGAGGCUGCUCGGUGGCUGCGGGCGCUGCUCGGUGGUGUCGGCCGUGUCCCCCCCCGCGGCGGUGGCGGUGGGGGCAUGGCUGGCAUUGCUCGCUGACACUCUAUCUGCCAGGGCCACGCCAGCCGCGGGCCCAGAAUAGCAGCGCUGCCCCGCAGAUAGCAUGGAGCAGCUCCGUGGCCCCGCCGCGUCCCAGGUGGCGCUGCGGGAUGCUGUUGUGUGCCCUGAGGAGGAAGGGUUUCCGAAGGCUGUAUGCCCCAGGGAGGAGGAAGAGGAGGAGGAGGAGGAGGAAGAAUACAGGAGACCUGUCACCUUCACACUGGGAAAUGAGAUACUGGGGCUGGGCCCAGAGGCCGAGUUUCAGACUCCUGACGCCGAGGUUUAUAUGCACUUCUUGAGGAGCCACUGCUGCUAUGAUGCCAUCCCCACCAGCUGCAAGCUCGUUGUUUUUGACGUCUCCCUGGAGCAGAUCAAGAAAGCCUUUUUGGCACUGGUGGCCAACGGGGUUCGUGCUGCCCCUCUCUGGGACAGCAAGACGCAGAGCUUUGUGGGGAUGCUCACCAUCACCGACUUCAUCAACAUCCUCCACCGCUACUACCGCUCACCUUUGGUUCAGAUCUACGAGGUGGAGGAGCACAAGAUUGAGACCUGGAGAGAGGUGUACCUGCAGGGCUCCCUCAAGCCACUGGUCUACAUCUCUCCAAGCAAUAGCCUCUUUGAUGCUGUCUACUCCCUGAUCAAGCACAAAAUCCACCGCCUGCCUGUCAUUGAGCCUGUCUCGGGCAAUGUCCUGCACAUCCUGACGCACAAGCGCAUCCUCAAGUUUCUCCACAUCUUUGCUUCUACCAUCCCCAAGCCACGCUUCCUGAAGAAAACAGUGCAGGAACUGUGCGUUGGCACCUUCCGUGAUCUGGCCGUGGUGGCUGAGACUGCCCCAAUCCACACUGCCUUGGAGAUUUUUGUGGAUCGCCGCGUCUCCGCCUUGCCUGUCAUCAAUGAUGCUGGGCAAGUGGUUGGCCUGUACUCGCGGUUUGAUGUCAUUCAUCUGGCAGCCCAGAAGACCUACAACAACCUGGACAUCAGUGUGAGGGAGGCACUGCAGCAACGCAGUGUCUGCCUGGAGGGGGUCCUCACCUGCUACCCCCAUGAACCUAUGGAGGACAUCAUUGACCGUAUUGCCAAGGAGCAGGUCCAUCGCCUGGUUCUGGUGGAUGAGAACCGGUACCCGCGGGGCAUCGUCUCCCUCUCUGACAUCCUGCAGGCCCUUGUGCUCACUCCUGCAGGUAUUGAUGCUCUUAACUCUUAGCCCACGGUGCUCCAUCUUUCUCCACUUGCACCCUCAAUUUCUCUCCACUUCAGGCAUCGACCGAUCCUCACUCUGAAGACACCAGGGAAAUGCCACUGUCUCGUCUGACUCGGGGAUCUCUUGCGCGACCUGUGAGAAGGAGGCUUGGGCCCGAAGGCUCUCUGUGGGGAGGACAUGCCUGUUCACCCCAGUCCUCGGGCUCGUCUUGAGUCCAGGGCUAGAUUCUGCCGGUCUCGGAGAGGCAGAAACACUGAAAAUGGGACCCAGGGGUGCCUCUUGCCACUGAGCACACGGUGAUGCUCAGUGGGCACGAUGCUGGAGGGGCUGCAACAUGCCUGCAGCUGGGCAGAGACCCAUAUAGCCCCAGAGGACCUGGCCACCCCUCUGCCAUCCUGCUGAUGGAUCUGAGCGUUUCUAUUGUGGCUCCCUCCUAGUGAACACAGUCCCGCUGUCUGUGCUCGGUGCCUGGUAGCGUAGGCUCAGCUGCACACACAGGCUUUUUUAUUUUAGGGUCACACGGGGCUGGAGCUCUCUGGCAGAGGCACAGUCUGUGCCAGAGCUGGCAGCAGGAUGGGCACUUGCAUGGAGACCCUGUGCACGUUUUGGGGCGGGCAGGGGAUAUUUAUUUAUUUGUUAGUCUGUUCAGCCUUGCUGUAACAAAACAGCCUGAUCCAAGAACUGCCUCUUGCCUUUCUGGGGUAAAGCUGGGCAUGACUCCUCUGGAGAGAAUCAGGCCGGGGAAGGGGUGCUGGCUGUUUGCCAGCGAGUUUGGCACUGGCAGAGUAGUACAUCGGCACAUGUGGGUAGAACUGAGGGGAUGGGGACACAAGACAUGCAGUCUUAAUCAUCUUGGUGAUGUGCAGGUCCCUUUGGGGACACACUGAGGGACAGAAGCUUUGGUACCAGAAAGGUUUCUGCUUGCUGCUUCCCUCAGUCCAAGAAGAAGAAAAGUAUGAGGGGUUCACUGUUAAAAAUGUCCCAUGCCCCAUCCCUCAAGGACUCUGGGCAAAUGGCAAUGCAUCCCCUGCCUGUGGCUGCUACUAGCUGUGAGCCUUGCAAUGGUCCUGGUUUGGGGG
This is an RNA transcript of Pyrgilauda ruficollis (rufous-necked snowfinch), 2444 nucleotides long. It is a transcript of the gene named protein kinase AMP-activated non-catalytic subunit gamma 3, with no coding region annotated. The transcript is spliced from 13 exons. Lineage: Eukaryota; Metazoa; Chordata; Aves; Passeriformes; Passeridae. The record is from RefSeq and is a predicted model, not a curated record.